Molecule: ribosomal RNA, 425 nt
Filed under: uncultured bacterium
Lineage: Bacteria
Description: partial 16S ribosomal RNA
Rfam family: Bacterial small subunit ribosomal RNA
Source: RNAcentral
GUUAGGAAUAUUGGACAAUGGGCGAAAGCCUGAUCCAGCCAUGCCGCGUGAACGAUGAAGGCCUUCGGGUUGUAAAGUUCUUUAGCCGAUGAUUAUAAUGACUGUAGUCGGAAAAUAAGCCCCGGCUAACUUCGUGCCAGCAGCCGCGGUAAUACGAAGGGGGCGAGCGUUAUUCGGAAUCACUGGGCGUAAAGCGUGCGUAGGCGGUUUUGUAAGUUAGGAGUGAAAGCCCAGGGCUCCACCUUGGAAUUGCUCUUAAAACUGCAAGGCUCGAAUCUCGGAGAGGAUAGCGGAAUUUCCAGUGUAGCAGUGUAAUGCGUAGAUAUUGGAAGGAACACCAGUGGCGUAAGCGGCUAUCUGGACGAGUAUUGACGCUGAGGCACGAAAGCGUGGGGAUCAAACAGGAUUAGAUACCCCGGUAGUCC